AACGGGUCGAGUUUUUGAUAGCACAGCUGGACCCAAGCUACUUCCUUUGCUCAACACGUUACAAUAAUGGCACAGUUUUCUCUCUCCCCUCCCUCCUUUCCAACUUCUCCUCUCCCACUGCGACGGCGAAUCUUAUUCGCUCCUCCACCAAGAACCGCCGCCUCUUCCGCCACCGACGCCGUUUCCACUUCCACUUCCUCUUCUGCUUCGAAUUACGCGCCCAAAGUCAUCGUCACUAGAGAGCGCGGCAAGAACUCCAAGCUCAUCGCCGCUCUGGCUAAACAUGAAAUCAAUUGUUUGGAGCUUCCACUCAUUGAGCACACGCAGGGACCUGAUUUAGACAGGCUUCCUUCUGUAUUAGGUGACAAUGCAUUUGACUGGGUUGUCAUAACUUCUCCUGAGGCAGGUUCAGUCUUUCUAGAGGCAUGGAGAGCUUCUGGAAUGCCUCAUGUCAAAAUAGGUGUUGUUGGGACUGGCACUGCAAGCAUUUUUGAGGAAAGUUUGCAGUCUUCAAACCGAUCCCUUGAUAUUGCCUUUGUGCCAUCAAGAGCAACAGGAAAGGUUUUGGCUACUGAGCUUCCUAAGAUUGGAAAUAAAUGCACCGUUCUCUAUCCUGCUUCGGCAAAGGCUAGCAAUGAGAUUGAGGAUGGACUUUCAAAGCGUGGAUUUGAGGUUACUAGAAUGAAUACAUAUACAACGGUUCCAGUUCAACAUGUUGACCAUAUGGUUCUAAAGCUAGCAUUUGAUGCCCCUGUUCUUACAGUAGCUUCACCAUCUGCUAUUCGUGCCUGGAAGAAUCUUCUUUCAGAUUUAGAGUGGAACAAUUCUGUUGCAUGCAUUGGUGAGACAACUGCCGCAAUGGCAAGAAGUUUAGGCUUCACUAAUGUGUUCUACCCAACACAACCAGGCCUCGAAGGCUAUUCAACGUGUUUCUUCCCUCUCUAAAGGCAAGAUGAUUAGCGAGUUAGAAGAGAUUAAAGAAGGAAGAUGCGAGUUGGAGACAGCAAGAUGGAAGUACCGACUGCUUUAUCUUGUUGAACGCAAAAUCAAACAACUGGCUGGGUAGAAAGCAUUCUGGAAGCAUUAGGUUCCUAUGAUGAAUUAAGGUAGGUCUCAGCCCUUCGUUGCAACCUGGAGAUGUUUACAACGGUUUUUCAUGCUGCAAGAUUAAUAUAAUGAUUUGGCAUAGUGGAUGGAUAAAAUUUAUUUUCUUUUCAGUAAUAAUUUUUAAGGCUAGAUUGAUUUAGCUUUAAUAAAGUGAGUAGUAUAUAUUAGGCAAUAAAGUGCACUUAUAGUCAUUGAUUAAAAUACCAGUAGUUGAGACUGUAAUUUAUUUAAAUUUUUGUUACAUAUAUGCAUUUGUUUUUUAAUCACAAAUUCCAACCAUUAAUUCUUUUAAUUAAUGACUAUAAAUGUACCUUAUCUAGUGCACUCUACUUGAAAACUGGAUCCUUUUAGGACUAUUGGAGACAUCAUGAGACAAAUAGUUUCCUGUAAAUAGGUGCUUAUAUUUCUUCUAUAACUACAUUGAGCACUCAAUUUGUCCUUAAAC
RNA transcript from Vigna radiata var. radiata (mung bean), 1552 nucleotides. It is a transcript of the gene named uroporphyrinogen-III synthase, chloroplastic, with no coding region annotated. The record is from RefSeq and is a predicted model, not a curated record. NCBI's taxonomy places the organism in Eukaryota, Viridiplantae, Streptophyta, Magnoliopsida, Fabales, Fabaceae. The transcript has 10 exons.